RNAcentral lists this ribosomal RNA (494 nucleotides) under uncultured bacterium. RNAcentral describes it as "partial 16S ribosomal RNA". It matches the Rfam family "Bacterial small subunit ribosomal RNA", at positions 28 to 523 of the family's 1533-position model. The record is from RNAcentral.
GAUGAACGCUGGCGGCGUGCCUAACACAUGCAAGUCGAACGGAGUUAUUAUUAUGAAGUUUUCGGAUGGAUUAAUAAUAACUUAGUGGCGGACGGGUGAGUAACGCGUGGGUAACCUGCCUCAUACAGGGGGAUAACAGUUGGAAACGGCUGCUAAAACCGCAUAACAUUGCACUGCCGCAUGACAGAGCAAUUAAAUAUUUAUAGGUAUGAGAUGGGCCCGCGUCUGAUUAGCUAGUUGGUAAGGUAACGGCUUACCAAGGCGACGAUCAGUAGCCGGCUUGAGGGAGUGACCGGCCACAGUGGGACUGAGACACGGCCCAAACUCCUACGGGAGGCAGCAGUGGGGAAUAUUGCACAAUGGGGGAAACCCUGAUGCAGCGACGCCGCGUGAGUGAAGAAGUAUUUCGGUAUGUAAAGCUCUAUCAGCAGGGAAGAAAAUGACGGUACCUGACUAAGAAGCCCCGGCUAACUACGUGCCAGCAGCCGCUGUAA